UUGGAAUAAUAAUUUUUUUUAUUUUGUUCAUUUUUAUAUUAUACGCUUUCUACAUCUUGCUAUAUUAUUUCUACCUCUAGUUUUUUACAUUGUUUUCUCCUCUCUUCUUUUUUCUUUCUUUUUUAAUUGUAUUAUUAAACAUAUAAUUAACAAAAAUAAAUACAUAAUAAUAUUUGCAAAAUAUACGAGCAAAGUACAAAACGGUUUUAUAAUAAAAAAUUCACUUAUUUAUUUUUAUCUGAUGUAAGACACGUAUUUUUAUGUGUCCCUUUAUAUGCAGAUCAUGUCAUUACAAGUUUUAUAUAUAUAAAUACACACACGUUGCGAAUAAAAAAAAAUAUAUAUAUUUAUAUAUAUAUGUACAUUCUAUUUGUGUCUAAAAAAAAAGGGUAUUAAUAGAAAAAACAUAUAUUAUCCCAUGUGUAAUGCUUAACACUAUUAAAAUGAAUGGUUAAAAAUGAAAAAUAUAAAAAAAUUGAUAAAAGGUGUCCCAUAGCAAGUUGCAUUACUAUUUUUUUUUUUUUUUUAUUUUAUUUAUUUUUUUUAUGUAAUUCAUAACUAAUUUAUAAAAACGAAAAUAAAAAUUAAAAAUGAGUGAUAAGAUUUUAAAUAGCUUUACGAAUUUAGAUGAGCUUAAAUUAUUAUGUAAAAAAAAGGGUGACUUAUUAAAAUAUUUUAAAACAUGUAAAAGCCAAGACUAUGUGGAACUGUGGACUGCUGCACAAAAAACUUUAGAAGAACAUAUAACUUUAGACAAGUUCGAUUAUGAAGAAGAACCGGCAACACUAUUCUUUAUUGUAAAAAUAUAUAUGUCAUACAAAAAUGUUAUUUUAAAUGCAUACACUGUACAUAUCACCCCAUAUAUAUAUCACCCCAUAUAUAUAUCACCCCAUAUAUAUAUAUAUAUAUUUUUACUCCGUUUUAAGGAAGAAAAUGACCGACAAUAUGUUUUAACUUUUGUUAAUUUUGUGUUAAUAUAUAUGCAAUAUUUAACAAACCUCGAAAAAAAAACAAAAAGUAAUAUUCUUGAUUUGGAUUUUCAAAUAUUUUUUGAAAGACUAACUGGUUAGAACAAAGCAAAAAAAAA
This 1087-nucleotide long non-coding RNA is filed under the name Piliocolobus tephrosceles (Ugandan red Colobus). RNAcentral's name for it is "lncRNA (ENSPTEG00000005471.1)". The record is from RNAcentral. Lineage: Eukaryota; Metazoa; Chordata; Mammalia; Primates; Cercopithecidae.